Molecule: ribosomal RNA, 230 nt
Filed under: uncultured bacterium
Lineage: Bacteria
Description: partial 16S ribosomal RNA
Rfam family: Bacterial small subunit ribosomal RNA
Source: RNAcentral
GUAAAGCGUGCGCAGCGGCUUGCAAGACAGAUGUGAAAUACCCGGGCUCAACCUGGGAACUGCAUUUGUGACUGCAAGGCUAGAGUACGGCAGAGGGGGAUGGAAUUCCGCGUGUAGCAGUGAAAUGCGUAGAUAUGCGGAGGAACACCAAUGGCGAAGGCAAUCCCCUGGGCCUGUACUGACGCUCAUGCACGAAAGCGUGGGGAGCAAACAGGAUUAGAUACCCUUGU